Long non-coding RNA from Telopea speciosissima, 156 nucleotides. RefSeq lists it as uncharacterized. NCBI's taxonomy places the organism in Eukaryota, Viridiplantae, Streptophyta, Magnoliopsida, Proteales, Proteaceae. The transcript is spliced from 3 exons. The record is from RefSeq and is a predicted model, not a curated record.
GGGUAGAGCCGGAUCUAAGUGUUGGCUAGGCAAGCAUCCUGUAGUAAGAGGAGUAGUUAUAAACCCUUCACCAUCCCCAUGGGGGUGGUGAAGGGAGGGUCCCAAUUGAUAGAAAAAAACCCACAAGCCCUUGGGGUUAUCCUGCGCUUGGAAGAA